CCUUGUACACGACAUCUCGUAGUGCUCAUGCAUCAUGCAAGAACACUACAAAUUGUCGUGUACAAGGU
This is a non-coding RNA of Nematostella vectensis (starlet sea anemone), 68 nucleotides long. The record is from Rfam. NCBI's taxonomy places the organism in Eukaryota, Metazoa, Cnidaria, Anthozoa, Actiniaria, Edwardsiidae.